AGCAACCAGGAGGAUUUGCUUGGGGUUUACAGCUGUAUGAGGAUACAGGAGUGGGGAUUUCCCCAAUUCAUGCCUGUGGGAAUGAGGGCAAUACCAAUGCUUCUUCUGCUGCUAUUAGCAUUCAUGCAGAGGAAAAACGCUGCUGUCACAGGACAAUCG
Scleropages formosus (Asian bonytongue) is the source of this 159-nucleotide long non-coding RNA. RefSeq lists it as uncharacterized. The transcript has 3 exons. NCBI's taxonomy places the organism in Eukaryota, Metazoa, Chordata, Actinopteri, Osteoglossiformes, Osteoglossidae. The record is from RefSeq and is a predicted model, not a curated record.